UCUUUUCUUUUGAUAGGAGAGUUUUUAAAACCAGUGUUAUUUUUGUAAGUUUAAGAGAAGUUUGUGUAUUGAAUUUUUAAUAUUAAAGAGCUUUGUUAAACUUAGACUUAAGUUUAGGUCAUUUUGGGGGUUUAGCUCAGUUGGCUAGAGCAUCGGCUUUGCAAGCCGAGGGUCAAGGGUUCGAGUCCCUUAACCUCCAUUGGGCUUAUGUCCUAAAUUGUAAUUAAGUAUGUUUUUAAGCAACUUUAUUAAAGUAAUUGUUGGAAUGUGAAACAGAGGAAGUUAAAAUUUCUGGGUUAAGUUGAGAUCUGUUGAUAUUAAGAAGAAUCUCUAGAAGCAAAAGCGAGCUUUCGAUAAAACCCGAAGUUGUUUCGCUAAAGUGCAAGGAUUAAACAGGAUUGUAUUUUCCAGUAGCCUAUUUUAUAAACGAUCUGCAUUUAGUAAAUAGUUUUUAGUUAGGAAAUAGUGUAUAUUGCUAAGUGUGAUGUC
This 489-nucleotide unclassified non-coding RNA is filed under the name Borreliella burgdorferi (Lyme disease spirochete). RNAcentral describes it as "partial 16S-23S ribosomal RNA intergenic spacer". The stretch from base 126 to 199 matches the Rfam family "tRNA". Lineage: Bacteria; Pseudomonadati; Spirochaetota; Spirochaetia; Spirochaetales; Borreliaceae. The record is from RNAcentral.